CUGAGUCAUCACCAUCCUCAUCUUUUUAAAAACAUGAGCAAGUCUCAGCAACACUUCAUUCACAUUAGUAAACAUUACCUAGGGAAAGAAAGAACAGGCUUCAAGAACAUGACAUCAUCAUUAAAAAUAAAUGUUUACUGAGUACCUACUCAGUGCAUAGUGCUGUUAGUCCUAGAGAUGGAGUAACCACCCGCCCUUAGGCACACCUGCACACAUAUGUACUCCCAUGUGCUAAAUCCAGAGAAGUGGCUCACACUAGAAGGAUUACUGGAAUUCCAAGGAAGGAGUAACUCUGCCCAAAGGGCCCAGGUGGUCACAAAAGGUUGCCACUCCUCAAUGCUGCAAAAUGUCUGCCAAAGGAAUGAGGCUAUAUAAUUCCUCUUGGGAUCUUGGUAAAGAGAGUCCACUGCAUUUUAUAAGCAUGGAAAGAAGUCCUGAGCUUCAUACUGACUGGGCCACCACCGAACUGAUGUCUGUGACCAGUGGAAUACCAGAGGCUAAGUAGGUUAGGCCUGGAUUGCCUCAACUAAAUACUAUGGCAGAGAAUGGAUGGCCCAGAGUGGUUAAGAGUAAUGAGGGUUCACAGUUGGAGGUGGUGGUAGAAUCAGUUCCACCCAUAUCAAGUAGUUCCUUAGAAGAGAACCACAAUGUCCACUGCAGAAAAUAAUUUGGAAAGACC
This is a long non-coding RNA of Bos taurus (domestic cattle), 679 nucleotides long. Lineage: Eukaryota; Metazoa; Chordata; Mammalia; Artiodactyla; Bovidae. The record is from Ensembl.